RNAcentral lists this unclassified non-coding RNA (224 nucleotides) under fungal sp. RNAcentral's name for it is "partial internal transcribed spacer region". The stretch from base 1 to 46 matches the Rfam family "Eukaryotic small subunit ribosomal RNA", at positions 1786 to 1831 of the family's 1831-position model. The record is from RNAcentral. Lineage: Eukaryota; Fungi.
AAGUCGUAACAAGGUCUCCGUAGGUGAACCUGCGGAGGGAUCAUUACUGAGUGAGGGCCUUCGGGCUCGACCUCCAACCCUUUGUGAACCAAACUUGUUGCUUCGGGGGCGACCCUGCCGGCAUUCGUCAGCGGGCGCCCCCGGAGGCCAUCAAACACGGCAUCUAUGCGUCGGAGUUUAAAUUCAAUUAAACAAAACUUUCAACAACGGAUCUCUUGGUUCUG